This 492-nucleotide ribosomal RNA is filed under the name uncultured bacterium. RNAcentral describes it as "partial 16S ribosomal RNA". It matches the Rfam family "Bacterial small subunit ribosomal RNA", at positions 29 to 507 of the family's 1533-position model. The record is from RNAcentral.
AGUGAACGCUGGCGGUAGGCCUAACACAUGCAAGUCGAACGGCAGCACAGUAAGAGCUUGCUCUUACGGGUGGCGAGUGGCGGACGGGUGAGGAAUACAUCGGAAUCUACUUUUUCGUGGGGGAUAACGUAGGGAAACUUACGCUAAUACCGCAUACGACCUACGGGUGAAAGCAGGGGAUCUUCGGACCUUGCGCGAUUGAAUGAGCCGAUGUCGGAUUAGCUAGUUGGCGGGGUAAAGGCCCACCAAGGCGACGAUCCGUAGCUGGUCUGAGAGGAUGAUCAGCCACACUGGAACUGAGACACGGUCCAGACUCCUACGGGAGGCAGCAGUGGGGAAUAUUGGACAAUGGGCGCAAGCCUGAUCCAGCCAUACCGCGUGGGUGAAGAAGGCCUUCGAGUUGUAAAGCCCUUUUGUCGGGAAAGAAAAGCAGCAGGUUAAUACCCCGCUGUUCUGACGGUACCCAAAGAAUAAGCACCGGCUAACUUCGUG